Molecule: transfer RNA, 87 nt
Filed under: Flammeovirga pectinis
Lineage: Bacteria; Pseudomonadati; Bacteroidota; Cytophagia; Cytophagales; Flammeovirgaceae
Description: tRNA-Leu
Rfam family: tRNA
About the family: Transfer RNA (tRNA) molecules are approximately 80 nucleotides in length. Their secondary structure includes four short double-helical elements and three loops (D, anti-codon, and T loops).
Source: RNAcentral
GCCUUGGUGGCGGAAUUGGUAGACGCGCUAGACUCAAAAUCUUGUGAGUGCAAGCUCGUGUGGGUUCGAGUCCCACCCAAGGUACUA